Molecule: ribosomal RNA, 114 nt
Filed under: Nannospalax galili (Upper Galilee mountains blind mole rat)
Lineage: Eukaryota; Metazoa; Chordata; Mammalia; Rodentia; Spalacidae
Source: RNAcentral
UUCUACAGUUACCCCACCCUGAAUGUGCCCAUCUCUGAUCUCAAGACGCUAAGGAGCAUCUGGCUGGUUAGUACUUGGAGGGGAGACGGCCUUGGGACACCAGUGCUGUAGGCU